GACGUAGGGCGCGAGCGUUGUCCGGAUUCAUUGGGCGUAAAGAGCUCGUAGGCGGCUUGGCAAGUCGGGUGUGAAAACUCCAGGCUCAACCUGGAGACGCCACCCGAUACUGCCGUGGCUAGAGUCCGGUAGGGGAGCGUGGAAUUCCUGGUGUAGCGGUGAAAUGCGCAGAUAUCAGGAGGAACACCAGCGGCGAAGGCGGCGCUCUGGGCCGGAACUGACGCUGAGGAGCGAAAGCGUGGGGAGCGAACAGG
This 254-nucleotide ribosomal RNA is filed under the name uncultured bacterium. RNAcentral describes it as "partial 16S ribosomal RNA". It matches the Rfam family "Bacterial small subunit ribosomal RNA", at positions 524 to 776 of the family's 1533-position model. The record is from RNAcentral.